This 377-nucleotide ribosomal RNA is filed under the name uncultured bacterium. RNAcentral describes it as "bacterial SSU rRNA". It matches the Rfam family "Bacterial small subunit ribosomal RNA", at positions 521 to 896 of the family's 1533-position model. The record is from RNAcentral.
UAAUACGAAGGGUGCAAGCGUUACUCGGAAUUACUGGGCGUAAAGCGUGCGUAGGCGGUUUGUUAAGUCUGUCGUGAAAGCCCCGGGCUCAACCUGGGAAUGGCGAUGGAUACUGGCAAGCUAGAGUGUGUCAGAGGAUGGUGGAAUUCCCGGUGUAGCGGUGAAAUGCGUAGAGAUCGGGAGGAACACCAGUGGCGAAGGCGGCCAUCUGGGACAACACUGACGCUGAGGCACGAAAGCGUGGGGAGCAAACAGGAUUAGAUACCCUGGUAGUCCACGCCCUAAACGAUGCGAACUGGACGUUGGGCACACUUAGGUGCUCAGUGUCGAAGCUAACGCGUUAAGUUCGCCGCCUGGGGAGUACGGUCGCAAGACUG